UACGAAGGGGGCUAGCGUUGCUCGGAAUCACUGGGCGUAAAGGGUGCGUAGGUGGCGCCGUAAGUCAGGUGUGAAAUUUCGAGGCUUAACCUCGAAACUGCAUUUGAUACUGCGGUGCUUGAGGACUGGAGAGGAGACUGGAAUUCAUGGUGUAGCAGUGAAAUGCGUAGAGAUCAUGAGGAAGACCAGUGGCGAAGGCGGGUCUCUGGACAGUUCCUGACACUGAGGCACGAAGGCCAGGGGAGCAAACGGG
RNAcentral lists this ribosomal RNA (253 nucleotides) under uncultured bacterium. Its description in RNAcentral is "partial 16S ribosomal RNA". It matches the Rfam family "Bacterial small subunit ribosomal RNA", at positions 524 to 776 of the family's 1533-position model. The record is from RNAcentral.